Molecule: ribosomal RNA, 467 nt
Filed under: uncultured Saprospiraceae bacterium
Lineage: Bacteria; Pseudomonadati; Bacteroidota; Saprospiria; Saprospirales; Saprospiraceae
Description: bacterial SSU rRNA
Rfam family: Bacterial small subunit ribosomal RNA
Source: RNAcentral
GAUGAACGCUAGCGGGAGGCUUAAUACAUGCAAGUCGAGGGGUAACUGGGAGAAUUUAUUUUCCGCAGACGACCGGCGAACGGGUGAGUAACGCGUACAUAUCUACCUUAUACUGGGGAAUAGCCUUUGGAAACGAAGAUUAAUACCUCAUAAUACCUUCGGGUUAAAGCUACGGCGGUAUAAGAUGAAUGUGCGUCCCAUUAGCUAGUUGGUGAGGUAACGGCUCACCAAGGCGACGAUGGGUAGGGGGCGUGAGAGCGUGGACCCCCACACGGGUACUGAGACACGGACCCGACUCCUACGGGAGGCAGCAGUAAGGAAUAUUGGACAAUGGGCGGAAGCCUGAUCCAGCCAUCCCGCGUGGAGGAUGACUGCCCUAUGGGUUGUAAACUCCUUUUAGAUAGGAAGAAACCCCGAGAUUUAUCUUGGGCUGACGGUACUAUCAGAAUAAGCACCGGCUAACUCCG